CUUUUAUCUGGAGUUAUUUAAUUUUAAAAUCAGAAAUUGUUUUUUACUGCUCAGUUGGUAAUUCAACAUUUAAUGUGAUUAUUGACAAAUAGCAAUUUUUGCAUUUGUAUAUGGAGUCCUUAGAGUUGAGGAAGACAUUUUCUAGAUUUUGGUUUUUAUAAACUUUUCGAGGUUGAUCUUGGCAUGUUGUUUUGCAGAGUAAGUGGCUGAAUAUGUAAUAAUUGUGUUUGUAUUUAGCUUGUAUUAAAAACACACUGUAAUACCAAUAAAACUAACAAUUUUUCCUGUAUUGUUUUAUACUCUAUUAGUUUAUGUUUAUGGACAUAAGAUUAAUUUAUUCAAACAAGCACUUCUAAACUGCAUGCUUAUGUAACCCUUUGAAGAAUUUAAAGCAAAAAAGGAAAUUGCAGAAAAAAAGUUUAAGGGAUGAUGGGUUAGAAUUUAAGUGAUUACCAAAGUAAUCAAAAACAGUCUUUCCUGAUGGCAUAUUUUUCCCUAUGUAGAUACUUUAAUUUUAUUUAUAUUUAUUUGUAGAAUUUUAUUAAACGUAUUAUAUUUAUUUAAUUAAUUAUUUUAUCUCCCUCUGGCUCUGUUGCCCAGGCUGGAGUGUAGUGGCGUGAUCAUAGCUUACUGUAACUCAUGGGCUCAAGUGAUCCUCCCACCUCAGCCUUCUGGGUAGCUGAGAUUACAGGAGCAUGCCACCACGUACAGAGGCUGUUUCUUCUUAAAGCUUUCAAGUGGUGUAUAAGUCCCUUUAUGCUGCCGUAAAGGAAUAUCCAAGACUGGGGACAUGGAUGAAUCUAGAGAACAUCAUUCUCAGCAAACUGACACAAGAACAGAAAAUGAAACACCGCAUAUUCUCACUCAUAGGCGGGUGAUGAAAAAUGAGAACACAUGGACACAGAGAGGGGAGUACUAAACACUGGGGU
This 929-nucleotide long non-coding RNA is filed under the name Callithrix jacchus (white-tufted-ear marmoset). Its description in RNAcentral is "lncRNA (ENSCJAG00000073967.1)". The record is from RNAcentral. Lineage: Eukaryota; Metazoa; Chordata; Mammalia; Primates; Cebidae.